This 253-nucleotide ribosomal RNA is filed under the name uncultured bacterium. RNAcentral's name for it is "partial 16S ribosomal RNA". It matches the Rfam family "Bacterial small subunit ribosomal RNA", at positions 524 to 776 of the family's 1533-position model. The record is from RNAcentral.
UACGAAGGGGGCUAGCGUUGCUCGGAAUCACUGGGCGUAAAGCGCACGUAGGCGGAUUGCUAAGUCAGGGGUGAAAUCCUGGAGCUCAACUCCAGAACUGCCUUUGAUACUGGUGAUCUUGAGUCCGGGAGAGGUGAGUGGAACUGCGAGUGUAGCGGUGGAAUGCGCAGAUAUCAGGAGGAACACCGAUGGCGAAGGCAGCUCGCUGGGACGGUACUGACGCUGAGGCGCGAAAGCGUGGGGAGCGAACAGG